CGAAUAAACAGUUAAUUAACCAUUUAUUUGCUUACCUUAAUCCAGCACCAGGCUCCCUCGGCUCUGAUGACCUCUCCUUCUCCAUCUACGUCAGCUUCCGAGUGGAUCCGAAUGCGCAUGCGCGGCAAGAGGCGUGUGCGCUUUCAAACCCGCCCAUAGGAAAGCAUUACUCAAUGCUUUCCUAUGGGGAUCUUUUUUGACACUGG
Pelobates cultripes (western spadefoot toad) is the source of this 206-nucleotide non-coding RNA. The record is from the annotation of a GenBank genome assembly. Lineage: Eukaryota; Metazoa; Chordata; Amphibia; Anura; Pelobatidae.